CUGUAAGAAGGUAUUAUGCUAAGUGAAAUAAGUCAGUCAGAGAAGGACAGAUAGCAUAUGGUUUUUUACUCAUAUAUGGAACUUGAGAAACUUAACAGGAAACCAUGGGGGAAGGGAAGGGGGAAAAAUAGUUAUAAAAAGAGAGGGAGGGAGGCAAACCAUAAGAGACUCUUAAAUACAGAGAACUGAGGGUUGAUGGGGGUGGGGUGGGGGAUGACGGUACCGGAAGAAUAAGCACCGGCUAACUACAUGCCAGCAGCCGCGGUAAUACGUAGGGUGCAAGCGUUAAUCGGAAUUACUGGGCGUAAAGCGUGCGCAGGCGGUUUGCUAAGACCGAUGUGAAAUCCCCGGGCUCAACCUGGGAACUGCAUUGGUGACUGGCAGGCUAGAGUAU
Molecule: ribosomal RNA, 394 nt
Filed under: uncultured Burkholderia sp.
Lineage: Bacteria; Pseudomonadati; Pseudomonadota; Betaproteobacteria; Burkholderiales; Burkholderiaceae
Description: partial 16S ribosomal RNA
Rfam family: Bacterial small subunit ribosomal RNA
Source: RNAcentral